This 368-nucleotide long non-coding RNA is filed under the name Homo sapiens (human). RNAcentral describes it as "non-protein coding lnc-CEP170-8:1". The record is from RNAcentral. Lineage: Eukaryota; Metazoa; Chordata; Mammalia; Primates; Hominidae.
GGGAGAUGCUAUAUCAUGACCCCUUGCUCCCCCAAAGAAAUCCUCAAAGAAUCCAUCUCCAUGAAUUCAGUCAAGUUGGCCUCUAAUUUUCAAGAAUGAUAAUUACUUUACAGCAGGAGUGAAGGGCUCUCAAAAUCAUCCAUAGUGAUUUUUUUUUUUUUUUUUUUUUGAGAUGGAGUCUCUCUCUGUCGCCCAGGCUGGAGUGCAGUGGCGCGAUCUCGGCUCACUGCAAGCUCCGCCUCCCGGGUUCACGCCAUUCUCCUGCCUCAGCCUCCCGAGUAGCUGGGACUACAGGCGCCCGCCACCACUCCUGGCUAAUUUUUUGUAUUUUUAGUAGAGAUGGGGUUUCACCGUGUUAGCCAGGAUGG